This 288-nucleotide long non-coding RNA is filed under the name Elaeis guineensis (African oil palm). RNAcentral's name for it is "long non-coding RNA (EGUI_LNC007616)". The record is from RNAcentral. Lineage: Eukaryota; Viridiplantae; Streptophyta; Magnoliopsida; Arecales; Arecaceae.
GCGAACCUUGGAGGGGCUAUCUCCUCCGAUCUCAUGACUCCGAGACAAAUGACAAAUUUUCUUGAAUUUGUAUGUGCAGGGGUUAAAACAUUUUCUUUUUGUUAAUUGAAGGAGCAAAAGACAAUAAAUAUAAUUACAAUGUUGGUCUCUAGAGUCGAAAUCACAGAUUGGAUACCAGUAUAUGUAUAUCUUUUAGCUGACAAAUACAAAUACCGAUAUGAAUAUUAGUUGGAUGUAGAAAUUUAUAUUCAUAUUUAUUUUAAAUGAAUACGGAUACAAAUUGGAUAC